RNAcentral lists this non-coding RNA (22 nucleotides) under Arabidopsis thaliana (thale cress). Lineage: Eukaryota; Viridiplantae; Streptophyta; Magnoliopsida; Brassicales; Brassicaceae. The record is from RNAcentral.
UGCAGUCGAGCGGUGUGAUGGA